AGAAAAUGUGCUCUGCGUUACCAUCUUCUCCUGCCCUUGCAUUCAGACUUUGACUGGAGCUUGAGUCAUUGGCUUUCCUGGUUCUCAGGCCUUUGGACUUGGACUGGAACUGUACCAUUGGCUCUGCUAGGUCUCCAGCUUGCCCAUUGCAGAAAGUGGGACUUCUUGGCCUCUCUCUCUCCGUAGGGGUCAUUGGAACAGCAUGAUUCUUGAGGAAAGGUUUUCCUAGUCUGAGUCUUCUCAGAAGCAGAUGUCAAGACAAGAUUAUACACUCAAGAUAUAUUGGGUAACAUCUGUGAAACAUAAUGGAGAAGAAACAGGAGAAAGCAGGGAGAACUUUUGCACCAUGAUGCAGGACUGGCACCUCAGAAGGAGAGUGGGAAGGAAAGAGGAUUGAGUAGGAAAAGCCUUAAAUUUCAGCACCAUUCUAAGAAAGCUUCAGCAAGACUAUUGGGUAAUCCUUGAGCCAGUGACCAGUUGAGAGUUCUACACGUCACAGUAAUGAACUUGCAUUAGUGCCUCCAUGGUGCUUUUAAUCAUCGGCUGGCUGCCACCUGGGAAACUUGGCCUUUGUGGAUCCAGAGGGUCACCAAUUGGUAUCAUGACUCAUUUAUGCUCCCCACAGAUGAGAUCUGACCAUUUCAUGGCCUCCAACCCUUGGUCAACUGUAGGCUAACCCAAGAAGAAUAAAGCAUCGGCUUCCCUGACAUGCUGCUCCCCCCAAAACAGAGUGCCAAUAUGAUUCCAAGGUUCUUAGCACACUGUAUAUUACCUCACUCCUCCUACAGGUAAGUAGAAGUUCAGGGCCAUUGAAGAGAUUAAUAAGGGCUGUUGGGAGUUGGAAAAGUCAGAAUGGACUGAACUAAAGUGAGAAGGCAGAGGUUGAGAAAGAGACAGUCUUGGGGAUUUGUGAGCCCAGCAGAAGCUCAGGUUAAAUUUGUUUACUGAUGAGUUGCCUGCAUGGUGCACUUCAUGAGACUGGAAGGCAAGGCUGCCUAGGAGCAACAUGAGACUUGGGGGUCUAUGUUAGACCUGAAGGACUGGAGACACCUGCCUUCAUUCAAAAUGGACUAGGCUGCCUUAGACAGUGUACAUCUCAGCAGUGACAGUGAUGGACCAAAGACCCUCUGUAUAAGUUCAAAGACUCUGAUUGGACUGUACAAGUAGAGUGAGCCUGCUCUCCAGUAAUGAUUUCGGGCGUCUCAUUAACCUGGGAAGUAGGGACUUAGAGGUCCCCAUUUUAAAAGUUAUAAAAUUUUUCUUGCAUGGAGUGCUGUGGCUUGGAUUCACAUCAUUCUAUAUGGCAGUCAUAAAUCAAAAUUAUUAGCGUUUGCAGAAGACUAGUUUGGCAUUUUAUUUAUAAGUUUAGUGGACACACAAUAAUUUGGCUUUUACUCAGUGAGAUACUAGGAAUUCCUGCCAGAAUCAUCAGUUUUGAUUGGAGUUUUCCGUGGUUUUCAACUACUAAUAUUCUAGCUUUUUAGUUACAAGUUAUUAUUGGUUUUGCUUCAUCUUUAUCAUUUUAAUUUGCUGUGAUUUGCCCAGUUAGCCUGUGAUAGUAUAUAUUUUCAUCAACAGAGUUUUACCCUAUAACUUCCUGAUAUAUAGAUUUUUAGACAUCUGUUGAUAGCUUGAAUAUCAUUCAGUCCCUACUGUUCAUAUAAUCAGUGGCACCCCCCUAUCAGCUUCUAAAGUGGUAUUUUAUUCUAAUCAUCAUUUUUUUUUUUCUGCUAGAAACUCGGAAUGAGUGGGGUACGUGAACUAAGGGGUUCUCUGCUUAGCCAGUGGGCCUUGAUCAUAGUUUGGCAAUUGCUACUCGGAGGCUAUAACAUCCCUGUAGCCUCUGAGGCCCAUGGCUUCCUCCCUACUUAUUCUUUUCCUUACCUUUUAUCUUUGGAAGCUCUAGGAACAAGAGAUGAAAUCCUAGUUUAUCACUUUCAGUGUUGGAACCAUAUAUUUUGCAGUUGUCAUAUGAAGAUACAAAGAAGUACCUGAUGAUUUAGAUACACUGAAAAAGAGUCUUGAUGUGUCGGCAGCAAAAAUACAGUAAACUAAACUACCUUUGAUGAUAAUUUAUAUAAGAUUUCAUUUCUUCCUUGCAAGUAGGCUGUUUUCUAGUAUUGAUGUUGAAUUAGAUUUUUAGGGUAGUGUUUUAAAACUAGGAAAAAGACUUUUUAAUACUUAAACAUUCAGAAACUAGUGUCAUCAAUGUCAUUGUGCCCACCACUCACAAUGAAUAAAUGUUAACAUUUUAUAAUAUUCCCUUCAUUUAUAUUUGUAAAACUGAAAUAUUACUGAUCCAGCUGGAGCCUCUUUGUACCUGGUCCUAUUUUCCUCCUUCUCCAGAGACAACUGUGCUCAUGAUUUUGGUAUGUAUCUGACUUCUAGUAUGUGCUUCCAUACUUUGACUACACAGGUAUUUAUCCCUAAACAAGUGUUGCUAUUGUAUGUUUUUAAACUUACUUAAAUGGCACUGUAAUGUAUACAUCAGUCUGUAACUUUGAUUUUUCAUUUAGUAUUAUGAUUUUGAGAUUUAUCUUUACACACAGAUCUAAUUGUUCAUUUCAUCUAGUUCACUCAUUCUAGGAGACAAAGACACAUGUAGAGUAUUUCUUUAAGUAAAUAUUCUCCUAUGGAUGGCCCAAUUAAAAUGUACAGUAUUCUAUAAGUUAUCAGCUUAGCUACUGUCACUUGCUGGAAGCUUUUUCUAUUUCUGUCUUUCUCUCACCAUUAGAGUGUAGUAGAGGCCCUUCCUCUUCCUGGUCCCCUGUGCUCAUGUGUGUUAUAGACUCCACCACAUAUUGUUGAAAAAUGUCCUCCUUUGCCUUAGACUGUGGACUCAUCAACAUCAGGGACCUGUAAUCUGUUCAUAAUGUUCAUGGUGUAGCCCCCAGGUCAGUGCUGUGCAGGAGACAAUGCUGGCACAUUUUGAUGAACAGAUGAAUAAAUGAUUCUAUGUCAUGGAGUAAGCUAUGUCAGUGAUUUAUUGAUGUAGCUUAAAAUCAAAGUCCCAAGUAAGUACUUUUUUUUUU
RNAcentral lists this long non-coding RNA (3032 nucleotides) under Homo sapiens (human). RNAcentral's name for it is "HSALNT0147088". The record is from RNAcentral. Lineage: Eukaryota; Metazoa; Chordata; Mammalia; Primates; Hominidae.